CCUACGGGUGGCUGCAGUGGGGAAUAUUGCACAAUGGGCGCAAGCCUGAUGCAGCCAUGCCACGUGUGUGAAGAAGGCCUUCGGGUUGUAAAGCACUUUCAGCGGGGAGGAAGGCGUUAAGGUUAAUAACCUUGUCGAUUGACGUUACCCGCAGAAGAAGCACCGGCUAACUCCGUGCCAGCAGCCGCGGUAAUACGGAGGGUGCAAGCGUUAAUCGGAAUUACUGGGCGUAAAGCGCACGCAGGCGGUCUGUCAAGUCGGAUGUGAAAUCCCCGGGCUCAACCUGGGAACUGCAUUCGAAACUGGCAGGCUAGAGUCUUGUAGAGGGGGGUAGAAUUCCAGGUGUAGCGGUGAAAUGCGUAAAGAUCUGGAGGAAUACCGGGGCGAAGGCGGCCCCCUGGACAAAGACUGACGCUCAGGUGCGAAAGCGUGGGGAGCAAACAGGAUUAGAUACCCGGGUAGUC
This 464-nucleotide ribosomal RNA is filed under the name uncultured Klebsiella sp. RNAcentral describes it as "bacterial SSU rRNA". It matches the Rfam family "Bacterial small subunit ribosomal RNA", at positions 338 to 795 of the family's 1533-position model. The record is from RNAcentral. Lineage: Bacteria; Pseudomonadati; Pseudomonadota; Gammaproteobacteria; Enterobacterales; Enterobacteriaceae.